UUCUGAUUGCAAGACGACUACUCAACCCAUCAAGCCACAGCUUCCCUAAUGUGAUUGGUGCCAUAGACUACACACAUCCCCAUCAAGGCCCAAAUGAAGGGGAUUUCUUAAACCGAGAGGGGGUUCACAGUGUAAAUGUGCAGGGGAUUUUGACGGGAUCCUGCUUGGAGACAGGGGCUAUGCCUGCAGGCAGUAUUUUAUGACACCCUUCCCCAACCCAAACCCUGGACCACAGACCCGGCACACAUUGAGAUGACCUUUGCACAACUGAAGGAAAGAUUUCAGUGUCUGAAAAGUCUGAGGGAUGCACCUGACAGGGCCUGUGACAUUGUUGCAUGUGUCAUGUUGC
Long non-coding RNA from Fundulus heteroclitus (mummichog), 349 nucleotides. RefSeq lists it as uncharacterized. The transcript is spliced from 3 exons. The record is from RefSeq and is a predicted model, not a curated record. Lineage: Eukaryota; Metazoa; Chordata; Actinopteri; Cyprinodontiformes; Fundulidae.